GACACAAAAGAUGUAUUAUCAGCAGAGCACACUUGACAUUCAACCAUUUGGCGAACCCAACCCAACCCCAGGCAUUUCUCCCCCCUCCAUGCCCGCCUCCCCUUUAAAAUAACAAUAAAAUAAAAGGAAGAAGAAAAAGGUCAUUAACGGUCCUUUAGAGGAGCUGAGAAGCUGUCACUCCGGGUGUCACAUCAGCUCUACUUUCCUAACCAACGUUUUUUCUCUUUAGGGGUUGUCUGAAGAUAUUCCCCUUUUGCUGCUGCAACAGGCGACCCAGGCUCUGAGCCAGAGCAAAGCUCUCAGAUGCCAGUUUUAAACAGAAAAGCCAGCAGGGCUGCAUGAAGGGAAAUGCCAGAAUCUCAGACCACCCUGACUCUUUAAAGAACGUAAACAUGAUAGAUUACUCUUAAUAAAGCUGUUUGAGGGUUCUUGGGGUGGGAGGGCAGAGUAACAGCUCACUGGGGAUAAGAGAAAGAAGCAAGCGAGAAACGCCUCUGGGUCGCCCACAAGCAGCGAUUGCUCUAGUUGGAAACCGGCACAGCCACCCAGUGGGAAGUCACAGGUUUCUAGACUGUUCUGUACUUCCAGGGUCACCUUCUAAGUCUCCCAGUGUCACCUGCAGGACAGGGUUCCCGAAUUCUCUAUAAAGAUGUUGAAAUGAUUGGGCAAGAGUCAUGAGCUAAAGUGGCGAAACUGUUUUCACGUCCUCUGUCUCCGAUGAAAGCCUCUACCUCCUUUUAAAAGAUCACGCAGAGGGACUCAAUUAAAAAGCACCUCUGAGACCAUUCCACCUGCGCCCCCACGUCGAGGCGAGGCUCUCCCAGAACUCCGGGUCAGGCAGACUCUGGAGUGAAUAGCACACAUACGAGCUCGUCAGUAACGGCGUCACGCAGUUUAGACAGAUAAUCGGCACAAUUUAUCACAGUUCAGUAACUUCGGCUUUGUUCUUCUGCAGGUGAAACAGGGGGCGGGGGGGGGGGGAUGUCAGGACAAAAGCUGUGGCUUCCAGAGGAACUGGCACAGAGAUAAGGGGAAUUUUUCUAAAUAGGUUUUUCUAUAUUUUGACACAAGUUCAAACAUAUACUAGACUGACUCACUGCACAACCUCGGACACACAUUUACACCAACGCCACGGCCUCAGCAGGGACGAUCGACUCCCCAGAAACGCGCAUUUCCAGUGUCUCUUAGCCGUUCAUAAAGUACAUUAAAAUCCAGCUUCAACUUUGCAGGGCAGUUUGUAGAAAUCCAGGCGCUGCUUCAAAACAGAGCCUAUUCAGAGGGAGUUGUUCUAUUCCUUUGUAACAAUUUAAAUUGAUAAUUAACUUUAGGCGUGAUGCCCAGCUUUCAUGUCAGGACUAUAGAGAUCCCUGCAGUCGACUAGAUAAACCUGUGAAGCCAAAUCGCUGGAUGGCAUCCCCACACAGACCAGUUCAGGUUAUUCCAUCCUCAGAAAACGAUGGAAGCAGGAGGCCUUGUUCAAACAUCCUAGACGGCCUGCUGUUCGCCCCUCAACCACGGCCAAUGAGCAGGGCCACCCUACCGCACGGUUUAUCCCUAACCACUGCCAACGAGCAGCGCCGCCCCAAAGCAGCACAGAGAGUAAGAUGCACGGGUGACCAGGCGCCACCAGAAGGGCAAGGACAGGCCCGCGGGACAGAGACAGUCAGGGCCCAAACUCAGGAAACACCCACCAGAAAAAGAGCCUGGGUUGCGUGUCCUAGUGAGGUUGUGAUGGGUCGAUGGCCUCAUGGGGCAGGGACAGUGACCCGGGCAGCGGGAACAGCACAGGCCAAGAGAGGAAGGGCCUUUCUGCAGGCCUCUGCUUUGACCCUCCCAGGACGCUGAAAUGACCUGGACCUCACAGGACACUGCAGUGACCAGGACCUCACAUGACACCGCAACACGACAGCACAGUGACCACGACGCCACAUGACACAAUGACCAGGACCUCACACCACACCGCAGCGGCCACAGGCCACAAGCACCACCCCUCUGAAGAGAGCCAGUGCAUUAAGCUCUCUGGAUGCAGGAACCCCGCGUCAGAACAACCAGAGCUGAGACGCACCGCCCCCGCUGUGCAGACGGCGAGGCUGAGACUCCAGACUCCGAGCGCUGCGCGCACGGCCACUCGACACCGGGAUCCACGUCGCCAGGCUCUCCCCUCACGGGACACGGAGGGCGAGCCCGCCAGGAGGUUAUCUUUUACUUUCUUGAUGGGGCCUUUGAACACAAAAGACUUUUUAAUUUUGAAGAAGUACGAUUUGUCUUUUUUUUUGGUAGUAUGAGCUUUGGGUGUCGUAUCCAGAAGGGUGCUGCCCAGCCCAGGAAGGGCUUCGAGAUUUUCUCCUGUAUCUUUAAAUGAAGUUCUAGUGACUGUGGUCUUACGUGGCGGGAUUUGUGCCUGCUUAGAAGACAGGACUCACGUGGGGCCAUGGCGGCUCUGCGUGUCUGUGACAAGGUCCUCCUUCCUCCCGUCUGAACCGCCUUUCGCACCAUUGGCUGAAAGCCAACCACCCGCAGGUGCGGGGGUUUAUCCCCGACUUUGGGUUCCCUCCGCUGAUGGGAAGAGAAGGCGUGAGGACCACGCCACGCCGUCUUCGUCCCCACGGCUUUACGGAAAGUGCUAAAACCUAAAAGUGCGAAGAUCCCAAGUGUGUUCCUCUUUUUUAAAAAACUGGAAACAUUUUUGAACCAUACUUCAUUGACAACGUUGUGCCAACUUCUGCUGUACAGCAGGGCGACGCAGUCACACAUACAUACACGUGUACAUACAUAUGCACGCUUCCUGUCCCGUGUUAUCUUCCCCUUGGCCCACGCCCAGAGACUGGACGUGCUUCCCGAGCUGUGCAGCAGGACCUCAGGGCUCGGCCACGGCGAAUGGAGCAGAGCGCAUCUAUUAACCCCAAACGCCCAGUCCAGCCCACUCCCCCUCCUCCCCCUCGGCAACCACAGGUCUGUCCGUGUCCGUGCCGACUGCGUUCGUUCUUAAGUCGCUUUCAGUUAGUCUCUGUCCCUUGGAUUCACAUAUGAAUUUCUGGAUCAGCCUGUUACUUUCUGCCAAAAAGCCGACUGGGAUUGUGUGGGGUUGUGUUGAACCUGCAGGUCACGGGGGCGAGCGUUUCCCAAAGCGUGCACCCUCUGAUGCAGGGGCACGGGAUGUCUUUCCAGCGAUGCAGGCUUUUUUUUCUUUUUUCUUUUCUUUUUUUUUCAGGUCUGCACCUGCGGCACAUGGAAGCUCCCAGGCUAGGGGUUGAAACGGAGCUGCAGCUGCUGGCUUAGACCACAGCCACAGCAAGACCGGAUCUGAGCGGCAUUUGUAACCUAUGCUGCAGCCUGCAGCAACGCCAGAUCCUUAACCCACUGAUGGAGGCCAGGGAUCGAACCCACAUCCUCACGGACACUACAUCGGGUUCUUAACCCCCUGAGCCACAACGGGAACUGUGAUUCGGGUCUUCUUAAGUUCCUCUGAGCAACGUUCAGCAGUUUCUAGAGAAUAUGCUUUGCACUUUAUGCAGCAGGAACUGGCACAAGACUGUCAACUAUAUUUAAAUUAAAAAAAAAAAAAAACAACAACUUUGCACUUCUUGGGUUAAAUUUUUUCCCUAAGCCUUUAUUCCUCUAAAGUUAUUCUAAGUGUAACUUUUCUUAAUUUCACUCCCAGAUUAAUUUGAAACAUUUUUAUUGCCACCAUGCGUUUCACAAUUAAUUCUUGGGAGAGGCUUAAAACGAUUUUUUUUCAAUUUGUCUCUUCAUUUUCCCCCCUUAUCACACACAAGGAUAUUCUCUAUGAGAAAACUCUAGAAAAUCACUACACCUGACGGCUGAGGCCUCAUUAGAGGUCGCUCUGUCCAACUGCCCCGCAAGUGCAAGAGAAGAAAGAGGCACAGAACCCCUGAGCGUCUGCCCGCGGACAGGGUCGGGCUGAGCCGCCGAGCCGGACCCCAGCCUGCGGGGCUCACUGGCUGCCUGCCGCGCCUUUGCCAGCCCCCGCAAUGCAGGGAUGAGGUCACCCGAGUGCUUGCGCUACUGCAGCACCUGCGAAUGAUGGCACCCCCAUAAUUAUCUUAACGAGACUUGAUUUCUAAAGCCUUAAAUUAGAAGACCGAGCAAGGAGGAAGACCAAGAAAUGAAAAGUCAGCCCAGCACAAAUUGGCCAAAGGCCAGCUGCUGGUCCCUGGCUGUGCUACUGAAACUGCUGAGCAGCCGAGAAGCUAUAGCCCUCUGCUCUCUCCCAGGACAGCAGCAGAUGCCAGGCCCAGUGCCAGGGACAUGGGGCAACCCGGCAAUCAACGCCGAGACUCAAGGAGUUAAUACCUCCCCGUCCUGUCUACAAACAAGGACAGUAACAGGAGUUGCGUGUAGAUUUGACGCCUGAGUAAGAAAAUCCCAGAAACAUGAUUGGCUAGUUCUCAAUAAA
Non-coding RNA from Sus scrofa (pig), 4417 nucleotides. NCBI's taxonomy places the organism in Eukaryota, Metazoa, Chordata, Mammalia, Artiodactyla, Suidae. The record is from RefSeq and is a predicted model, not a curated record.